Molecule: transfer RNA, 62 nt
Filed under: Eomenopon denticulatum
Lineage: Eukaryota; Metazoa; Arthropoda; Insecta; Psocodea; Menoponidae
Description: tRNA-Val
Source: RNAcentral
CGGAGUUUAGUUUAUUUAGAACAUUUUGUUUACAACAAAAAGGAAUUUCAAGUUAACUCUGU